GGCAGGAUGGCCGAGUUGGUUAUGGCGCCAGGUUAAGGUCACCUUAAUGAGGUUGUGUACUCAAAAAAUACGCAGCUUAAUCUCCUGGUUCGGGAAACUGAGCGUGGGUUCAAGUCCCACUCCUGUCA
Ascodesmis nigricans is the source of this 128-nucleotide non-coding RNA. Lineage: Eukaryota; Fungi; Ascomycota; Pezizomycetes; Pezizales; Ascodesmidaceae. The record is from the annotation of a GenBank genome assembly.